GGCCAAGUGGCGGAAUGGCAGACGCACUCGAUUCAAAAUCGAGCGCCGCAAGGCGUGUGGGUUCGAGUCCCACCUUGGCCA
RNAcentral lists this transfer RNA (81 nucleotides) under Gemmata massiliana. It matches the Rfam family "tRNA". From Rfam's summary of the family: Transfer RNA (tRNA) molecules are approximately 80 nucleotides in length. Their secondary structure includes four short double-helical elements and three loops (D, anti-codon, and T loops). The record is from RNAcentral. RNAcentral also lists the same sequence under 2 other names. Lineage: Bacteria; Pseudomonadati; Planctomycetota; Planctomycetia; Gemmatales; Gemmataceae.